CCGCUAGGGAUAGUGUGAUAAAUGUGAAAGUGAAAAGAAUGUACACGUGUGGUAAUAACAGGAGACGAAUAUGAUAGCUGAGUGUUGAGUUAAAAGAUUUGAAUAUUAUAACAGUGUAGAACUUUAAAAAUUGUCUGCUAGGAAUAGUGUAAUUAACUUGGUCUACAUUACGACUGAAAGGGAAAAGAAUGUACACGUGUGGUAAUAACAGGAGACGAAUAUGAUAGCUGAGUGUUGAGUUAAAAGAUUUGAAUAUUAUAACAGUGUAGAACUUUAAAAAGGGUCUGCUGGGAAUAGUGUAAUUAACUUGGUCUAUAUUACGACUGCAAGGGGAAAGAAUGUAUACUUGUAGUUAUAACAGGAGACGAAUGUUAGAGUUGAGUGUUGAGUUAAAAGAUUUGAAUAUUAUAACAGUGUAGAACUUUAAAAAUUGUCAGCUUGGAAUAGUAUAAUUAACGUGGUCUGUAUUACGACUGAAAGGGGAAAGAAUGUACACGUUUAGCAAUGGCAGGAGACGAAUGUGAGAGUUGAGUGUUGAGUUAAAAGAUUUGAAUAUUAUAACAGUGUAGAACUUUAAAAAUUGUCAGCUGGGAAUAGUGUAAUUAACUUGGUCUAUAUUAGGACUGCAAGGGGAAAUAAUGUACACGAGUAAUAACCACGAGACGAAUGUUAGAGUUGAGUGUGAAUUUAAAAGAUUUGAAUAUUAUAACAGUGUAGAACUUUAAAUAAGGUCUGCUAGGAAUAGUGUAAUUAACUUGGUCUACAUUACGACUGAAAGGGAAAAGAAUGUACACGUUUAGCAAUAACAGGAGACGAAUAUUAGAGUUGAGUGUUAAGAUAAAAGAUUCGAAUAUUAUAACAGUGUAGAACUUUAAAAAGGGUCUGCUGGGAAUAGUGUAAUUAACGUGGUCUGUAUUACGACUGCAAGGGGAAAGAAUGUACACGUUUAGCAAUAGCAGGAGACGAAUAUGAUAGCUGAGUGUUACAUAAGAAAAAAAAGAAUAUUAUAACAGUGAAGAACUUUAUAAAGGGCUUGGUAGGAAGAACAAAAAAGUAUUGAAACGUUGUGUAUAUUUCUUUUGAAGUGAAUAACAAAGAAAUUAAAUAUCCUGAUAAUCUUACUAACAGGCUGACACACACACACACACACACACACACACACACACACAGACACACACAUACUAAUUAGCACCCAGAAUACACCUUAACCUUACCUUACCCUCUCCCUCCCUCCCCCUUUCCUCACCUCUUCGCCAGGUAACUCAAGUAAGUGUGAGGUGAAGGUAAACACACACACACACACACACACACACACACACACACACACACACACACACACACACACACACACACACACACACACACACACACACACACACACACA
This is a long non-coding RNA of Eriocheir sinensis (Chinese mitten crab), 1384 nucleotides long. RefSeq lists it as uncharacterized. The record is from RefSeq and is a predicted model, not a curated record. The transcript is spliced from 2 exons. Lineage: Eukaryota; Metazoa; Arthropoda; Malacostraca; Decapoda; Varunidae.